CCUUAACACAUUUCAAUUAUAUUCUGUAAAUAUAUCUAAUCACAGUAUUACUUCUUAUAGGUGAAUUCAUAUAAAAUAAUUAGGUACAUUUUGUAAAUAGAUUAAAUAAUUUGUGUAGGUAAACCAGGGGCGUAUUUACAAGAGAUAUGAGGAAUAAAUCCCCCUUGGCUUAUAUAGGCUUAUAUAUAAGUCUAGUUCAAACCCUGAAAGAUCUUUCUAAAAUUUAAAGAGAAUAAAGAACUAGGUAUUUUAGAAAUAACAUGAAAUAAGGACAUAUUUUACCCAUUUUACUAUAAC
Non-coding RNA from Cinara cedri, 297 nucleotides. The record is from the annotation of a GenBank genome assembly. Lineage: Eukaryota; Metazoa; Arthropoda; Insecta; Hemiptera; Aphididae.